CCAAUAGCGUAUAUUAAAGUUGCUGCAGUUAAAAAGCUCGUAGUUGAAUUUCGGGAUCAGUAUGUUGGUCGUGCCUUGGUACGUACUAGUUUAUUGAUCUCUCCCUUCUGACGAACCAUGAUGUCAUUUAUUUGGUGUCGUGGGGAAUCAGGACUGUUACUUUGAAAAAAUUAGAGUGUUUAAAGCAGGCUCACGCUUGAAUACAUUAGCAUGGAAUAAUGAAAUAGGACGUUUGAUUCUAUUUUGUUGGUUUCUAGGAUCGACGUAAUGAUUAAUAGGGAUAGUUGGGGGCAUUAGUAUUCAAUUGUCAGAUGUGAAAUUCUUGGAUUUAUUGAAGACUAACUACUGCGAAAGCAUUUGCCAAGGAUGUUUUCAUUAAUCAAGAACGAAAGUUAGGGGAUCGAAGACGAUCAGAUACCGUCAUAGUCUUAACCAUAAACUAUGCCGACUAGGGAUCGGAUGAUGUUAAUUUUUUAAUGACUCAUUCGGCGCCUUACG
This 498-nucleotide ribosomal RNA is filed under the name uncultured Glomeromycotina. RNAcentral describes it as "partial small subunit ribosomal RNA". It matches the Rfam family "Eukaryotic small subunit ribosomal RNA", at positions 591 to 1092 of the family's 1831-position model. Lineage: Eukaryota; Fungi; Glomeromycota. The record is from RNAcentral.